RNAcentral lists this unclassified non-coding RNA (339 nucleotides) under soil metagenome. RNAcentral describes it as "partial contains 5.8S ribosomal RNA, internal transcribed spacer 2, and large subunit ribosomal RNA". The stretch from base 1 to 120 matches the Rfam family "5.8S ribosomal RNA", at positions 35 to 154 of the family's 154-position model. The record is from RNAcentral.
GAUGAAGAACGUAGCGAAAUGCGAUAAGUAAUGCGAAUUGCAGAAUUCCGUGAGUCAUCGAAUCUUUGAACGCACAUUGCGCCCUUUGGCAUUCCGAAGGGCAUGCCUGUUCGAGCGUCAUUUAUCAACCCUCAAGCCCGGCUUGCGGUUGGGUCCCGCCGUGGGCGACCACGGCGGACCCGAAAGGUAAUGGCGGUGCCCGUGGGGCCCUGGACGCAGCGAGCUUCUCGGCACGCGUCCCGGCGGUCCCCGGCGCCGUCUACACCAAUCCACCACGCAGAUUGACCUCGGAUCAGGUAGGGAUACCCGCUGAACUUAAGCAUAUCAAUAAGCGGAGGA